GAGGAAUUCGUGGAUAAGCGUCCACAAUACCGCUGCCUAGUGUUCGGUUUCAACAAUGAAAGAUCAUACGUGGAAAAUUCCUGGUUUUUCGACCUGGCCGGAAAACGGAAGUGCAUCAUAUUCGAGCACGACCCUCACUCGCCGACGAAUCCGAGUGUGAGUAUAAAUCCUCCAUUAUCAUGGACUCACAGGAAUGAAAGGAACUAGAUUUGACAAUGACCGCGUUUGGAACGAUGCUCGUGAACAGUGAGCUUGGUUCAAAUCUGAAAAGUGCAACAAUCCAGCUGCAUUCUCGGCAUACCUUAGAAUUCCUCUGUAACUAUAAAACCGACGAUUUUCGACAGCCCAUUUUCGUGCCCAUUUUAUGGGCACGAACUCGCUCGAUUCUUUUUUACACUAACAAAGUCCUAAUUCUACACUUUAAUCUCCUGUAAUAAUAUUUUAGGUCCAACCGAAAUCGUUAUCCUACAUCUUGAACAUACUUUGAGAGAUUUCCAUGCAGAGUUGAUUUUGCUUGUUCGUGAAAAAAUCAGAACCAAAAUUUGGCGAUGUACUGUACCUCGUACAUUAAAAUUACGUAAUACGAUGUCAGGAGUGUUCCACAAUCUUCUGCCACACUUAUUAUCAGUUAAAACAAUUUUACUAUAUUCGAAUCAUUUAUGCAUCAAUAAUCUGUUGAAUUUAAUAGAUUUUCAUUCCGCAGAACAAUUUUAUCGUAAUGUGUGAUUCUUUCAUGUGUACAGUAUAAUUUAAUAAAUCGUUUAUGCA
This is a long non-coding RNA of Centruroides sculpturatus (bark scorpion), 768 nucleotides long. RefSeq lists it as uncharacterized. Lineage: Eukaryota; Metazoa; Arthropoda; Arachnida; Scorpiones; Buthidae. The record is from RefSeq and is a predicted model, not a curated record. The transcript has 2 exons.